This 218-nucleotide ribosomal RNA is filed under the name uncultured bacterium. RNAcentral describes it as "partial 16S ribosomal RNA". It matches the Rfam family "Bacterial small subunit ribosomal RNA", at positions 524 to 741 of the family's 1533-position model. The record is from RNAcentral.
UACGUAGGGUGCGAGCGUUGUCCGGAAUUAUUGGGCGUAAAGAGCUUGUAGGCGGUCUGUCGCGUCUGCUGUGAAAAUCCGGGGCUCAACCCCGGACUUGCAGUGGGUACGGGCAGACUAGAGUGUGGUAGGGGAGACUGGAAUUCCUGGUGUAGCGGUGAAAUGCGCAGAUAUCAGGAGGAACACCGAUGGCGAAGGCAGGUCUCUGGGCCACUACU